RNAcentral lists this ribosomal RNA (460 nucleotides) under uncultured bacterium. RNAcentral's name for it is "partial 16S ribosomal RNA". It matches the Rfam family "Bacterial small subunit ribosomal RNA", at positions 338 to 795 of the family's 1533-position model. The record is from RNAcentral.
CCUACGGGAGGCAGCAGUGAGGAAUAUUGGUCAAUGGGCGCGAGCCUGAACCAGCCAAGUCGCGUGAGGGAUGACGGCCCUACGGGUUGUAAACCUCUUUUGCCGGGGAGCAACGGGCGCCACGUGUGGCGCCACUGAGAGUACCCGGAGAACAAGCAUCGGCUAACUCCGUGCCAGCAGCCGCGGUAAUACGGAGGAUGCGAGCGUUAUCCGGAUUUAUAGGGUUUAAAGGGUGCGUAGGCGGGCUUUUAAGUCAGCGGUAAAAAUUCGGGGCUCAACCCCGUCCGGCCGUUGAAACUGGGGGCCUUGAGUGGGCGAGAAGAAGGCGGAAUGCGUGGUGUAGCGGUGAAAUGCAUAGAUAUCACGCAGAACCCCGAUUGCGAAGGCAGCCUGCCAAGCCAUGACUGACGCUGAUGCACGAAAGCGUGGGGAUCAAACAGGAUUAGAUACCCCGGUAGUC